This 379-nucleotide ribosomal RNA is filed under the name uncultured bacterium. RNAcentral's name for it is "bacterial SSU rRNA". It matches the Rfam family "Bacterial small subunit ribosomal RNA", at positions 521 to 896 of the family's 1533-position model. The record is from RNAcentral.
UAACACGUAGGGGGCGAGCGUUGUCCGGAUUUAUUGGGCGUAAAGAGCUCGUAGGCGGCUGAGUAAGUCGGGCGUGAAAUUUCAGGGCUCAACCCUGAAACGCCGCUCGAUACUGCUCUGGCUAGAGUCCGGUAGGGGAGCGUGGAAUUCCCAGUGUAGCGGUGAAAUGCGCAGAUAUUGGGAGGAACACCGGCGGCGAAGGCGGCGCUCUGGGCCGAGACUGACGCUGAGGAGCGAAAGCGUGGGGAGCAAACAGGAUUAGAUACCCUGGUAGUCCACGCCGUAAACGUUGGGCACUAGGUGUGGGGUCUACUCAACAGAUUCCGUGCCGCAGCUAACGCAUUAAGUGCCCCGCCUGGGGAGUACGGCCGCAAGGCUA